Lycium ferocissimum is the source of this 350-nucleotide long non-coding RNA. RefSeq lists it as uncharacterized. The transcript is spliced from 2 exons. Lineage: Eukaryota; Viridiplantae; Streptophyta; Magnoliopsida; Solanales; Solanaceae. The record is from RefSeq and is a predicted model, not a curated record.
CAAAUGAUCAUGCAUGCUAUUGCAGUGAGGAAUUAAUUUCAGCAAGACAUUUAAAAAGGAGAAUCCUAAUGUGAAGGAUGUUUCAAAUAUAUCAAACAUGUUGAUGUCUUGAGAUUCAAAAAACAUAUAGGAAAAGAAAGGAACUACUUCAAGCUCAUGUAUGUAAAUAAAGUAAAACACGAAGUUGACACUGUAAGUCAGAAAUAAGUGAAAGACUGUAAUCGAUUUACGUAAUUCAUUGGAGUAUUACUUUUUGAAAAAACCUACAAAACAAAUUACAUUUACGUGAAUUGUUUUGGAGAUGAUGAUAAUUUUUUAUGUUAUUCGAAAACUAUUAACUAGCCAUAUAA